This 305-nucleotide ribosomal RNA is filed under the name uncultured bacterium. RNAcentral describes it as "bacterial SSU rRNA". It matches the Rfam family "Bacterial small subunit ribosomal RNA", at positions 335 to 656 of the family's 1533-position model. The record is from RNAcentral.
AAUCCUACGGGACGCAGCAGUGGGGGAUAUUGCACAAUGGGGGAAACCCUGAUGCAGCGACGCCGCGUGUGGGAAGACGGUCUUCUGGAUUGUAAACCACUGUCCCCAGGGACGAAAAUGACGGUACCUGGGGAGGAAGCUCCGGCUAACUACGUGCCAGCAGCCGCGGUAAUACGUAGGGAGCAAGCGUUGUCCGGAAUUACUGGGUGUAAAGGGAGCGCAGGCGGGAAGCCAAGUCAGCUGUGAAAACUACGGGCUUAACUUGUAGACUGCAGUUGAAACUGGUUUUCUUGAGUGAAGUAGAG